Molecule: ribosomal RNA, 168 nt
Filed under: uncultured bacterium
Lineage: Bacteria
Description: partial 16S ribosomal RNA
Rfam family: Bacterial small subunit ribosomal RNA
Source: RNAcentral
CUCCUACGGGAGGCAGCAGUAGGGAAUCUUCCGCAAUGGACGAAAGUCUGACGGAGCAACGCCGCGUGAGUGAAGAAGGCCUUCGGGUCGUAAAACUCUGUUGCCAGGGAAGAACAAGUGCCGUUCGAACAGGGCGGCGCCUUGACGGUACCCCGGCCAGAAAGCCAC